RNAcentral lists this ribosomal RNA (438 nucleotides) under uncultured bacterium. RNAcentral describes it as "bacterial SSU rRNA". It matches the Rfam family "Bacterial small subunit ribosomal RNA", at positions 29 to 495 of the family's 1533-position model. The record is from RNAcentral.
AACGAACGCUGGCGGCAGGCUUAACACAUGCAAGUCGAACGGGUGCAGCAAUGCAUCAGUGGCAGACGGGUGAGUAACACGUGGGAACCUUCCUAGGGGUACGGAACAACUCAGGGAAACUUGAGCUAAUACCGUAUACGCCCCCGGACUUGAUCCGGGGGGAAAGGAUUCAUCGCCCCUACGACGGGCCCGGCGUCGGAUUAGGUAGUUGGUGGGGUAACGGCCUACCAAGCCUACGAUCCGUAGCUGAUCNGAGAGGAUGAUCAGCCACACUGGGACUGAGACACGGCCCAGACUCCUACGGGAGGGCAGCAGUGGGGAAUCUUGGACAAUGGGCGCAAGCCUGAUCCAGCCAUGCCGCGUGAGUGAAGAAGGCCUUAGGGUUGUAAAGCUCUUUUUACCAGGGAGAUAAUGACGGUACCUGGAGAAUAAGCCCCC